UACGUAGGGGGCAAGCGUUGUCCGGAUUUAUUGGGCGUAAAGCGCUCGCAGGUGGUUCGAUGCGUCGUGCGUGAAAGACCCCGGCUCAACUGGGGAGGGUCGUGCGAUACGGUCGAACUGGAGGCCAGUAGGGGGAUGCGGAAUUCCGGGUGUAGUGGUGGAAUGCGUAGAGAUCCGGAGGAACACCAGCGGCGAAGGCGGCAUCCUGGACUGGUCCUGACACUCAGGAGCGAAAGCUAGGGGAGCAAACGGG
RNAcentral lists this ribosomal RNA (253 nucleotides) under uncultured bacterium. RNAcentral's name for it is "partial 16S ribosomal RNA". It matches the Rfam family "Bacterial small subunit ribosomal RNA", at positions 524 to 776 of the family's 1533-position model. The record is from RNAcentral.